AGGGUUUGAUCAUGGCUCAGAUUGAACGCUGGUGGUAUGCUUAACACAUGCAAGUCGAACGGUAACAUUGGAGCUUGCUCCAGAUGACGAGUGGCGGACGGGUGAGUAACGCGUAGGAAUCUGCCUAGUAGUGGGGGACAACAUGUGGAAACGCAUGCUAAUACCGCAUACGCCCUACGGGGGAAAGCGGGGGAUCUUCGGACCUCGCGCUAUUAGAUGAGCCUGCGUUAGAUUAGCUUGUUGGUGGGGUAAUGGCCUACCAAGGCGACGAUCUAUAGCUGGUCUGAGAGGACGAUCAGCCACACUGGGACUGAGACACGGCCCAGACUCCUACGGGAGGCAGCAGUGGGGAAUAUUGGACAAUGGGCGCAAGCCUGAUCCAGCAAUACCACGUGUGUGAAGAAGGCCUGAGGGUUGUAAAGCACUUUCAAUUGGGAGGAAAACAGCUGGGUUAAUAGCCCUGCUCUUGACAUUACCUUUA
RNAcentral lists this ribosomal RNA (481 nucleotides) under uncultured bacterium. RNAcentral describes it as "bacterial SSU rRNA". It matches the Rfam family "Bacterial small subunit ribosomal RNA", at positions 8 to 483 of the family's 1533-position model. The record is from RNAcentral.